Molecule: ribosomal RNA, 399 nt
Filed under: uncultured bacterium
Lineage: Bacteria
Description: bacterial SSU rRNA
Rfam family: Bacterial small subunit ribosomal RNA
Source: RNAcentral
CGAAUCUUCCGCAAUGCGCGAAAGCGUGACGGAGCAAUGCCGCGUGCAGGAUGAAGCCCUUCGGGGUGUAAACUGCUGUCAGGGUUCAGCAACACAAUGAGCAGACCCAAAGGAAGGGCCGGCUCACUUCGUGCCAGCAGCCGCGGUAAUACGAAGGGCCCGAGCGUUGCGCGGAAUCACUGGGCUUAAAGCGUACGUCGGCGGACAUUCAGGCACCUUGUGAAAUCCCUCGGCUCAACCGAGGAAUCGCUUGGUGAACCGUUUGUCUUGAGGCAAGUAGGGGCUGUCGGAACGAUAGGUGGAGCGGUGAAAUGCGUUGAUAUCUAUCGGAACGCCGAAGGUGAAGACAGGCAGCUGGGCUUGUUCUGACGCUCAGGUACGAAAGCGUGGGGAGCGAAC